Molecule: ribosomal RNA, 245 nt
Filed under: uncultured Lachnoanaerobaculum sp.
Lineage: Bacteria; Bacillati; Bacillota; Clostridia; Lachnospirales; Lachnospiraceae
Description: partial 16S ribosomal RNA
Rfam family: Bacterial small subunit ribosomal RNA
Source: RNAcentral
UACGUAGGGGGCAAGCGUUAUCCGGAUUUACUGGGUGUAAAGGGAGCGCAGACGGCAAUGCAAGUCUGAAGUGAAAGCUCGCGGCUCAACCGCGGAACUGCUUUGGAAACUGUAUAGCUUGAGUACCGGAGGGGUGAGCGGAAUUCCUAGUGUAGCGGUGAAAUGCGUAGAUAUUAGGAGGAACACCGGUGGCGAAGGCGGCUCACUGGACGGUAACUGACGUUGAGGCUCGAAAGCGUGGGGAG